This is a long non-coding RNA of Gambusia affinis (western mosquitofish), 212 nucleotides long. RefSeq lists it as uncharacterized. The record is from RefSeq and is a predicted model, not a curated record. Lineage: Eukaryota; Metazoa; Chordata; Actinopteri; Cyprinodontiformes; Poeciliidae. The transcript is spliced from 3 exons.
AACAUCUUCUCUACCUGCCGCAGUGAGUUCAGUAGAUCGUGGGUGGGUGGACACUCCUGUGGACAGGAUGAAGACACUUCAGAGGACAAACUCUACUCAGAAACAACAGGGCUCUCUCACACUGCCGGCUCUUCAUCUCCAACGCGAUGCAGAUGGAGGAGCUGCGCCUUGGAGGCGGGGCUAGGUCUACCCAGGCCUUAGGCAAAGCUGAA